GAUGAACGCUGGCGGCGUGCUUAACACAUGCAAGUCGAGCGGUAAGGCCCUUUCGGGGGUACACGAGCGGCGAACGGGUGAGUAACACGUGGGUGACCUGCCCUCAGCUCUGGGAUAAGCCUGGGAAACUGGGUCUAAUACCGGAUAUGACUCCAUGACGCAUGUUGUGGGGUGGAAAGCCUUGUGCGGCUGAGGAUGGGCCCGCGGCCUAUCAGCUUGUUGGUGGGGUGAUGGCCUACCAAGGCGACGACGGGUAGCCGGCCUGAGG
Molecule: ribosomal RNA, 268 nt
Filed under: uncultured bacterium
Lineage: Bacteria
Description: partial 16S ribosomal RNA
Rfam family: Bacterial small subunit ribosomal RNA
Source: RNAcentral